This 3901-nucleotide long non-coding RNA is filed under the name Sarcophilus harrisii (Tasmanian devil). Its description in RNAcentral is "lncRNA (ENSSHAG00000029514.1)". The record is from RNAcentral. Lineage: Eukaryota; Metazoa; Chordata; Mammalia; Dasyuromorphia; Dasyuridae.
UCCUAGUCACAUUCUGAAAAAUCAAGAGGAAAAUGUCACUUUGCAAUGUAUGGUGUUUUUUUGUUUCUGUUUUUGUUUUUGUUUUGUUUUGUUUUGUUUUAACAUCCUAUGAGUCCACAAAGUCGUAUUUAAAAGUUUCCAACAGGAAUUGCAAGCAUAAGCUUACAGACUGAUGAAGAGUUUCUGGAUCUUUCCUUAGGAGAAUCUCUGUAAUUUCAAUAGGCAUUAAGCCGUGUCAACAGUUUGAAGUGAGUUUUCAAAGUAAAAACUAAACUCGAGCUCACCUCCACCCUAUCUCACCUCCAGUGCAAAGUGUGUGUGAGGGAGGUUAUGGGGGAGGGGAGGGUGUUUGCCUCAAUGAGAGAGGGAGAGAAGGGGAAAGAGAGAGAGAGGAUUUUCAACUGGAUUAAAUGAUCUGAAUAGUUUACAGGUUUCCAGUGGGGGCUGAGCUGGGGUGGCUGCAGCAGCUGCUCCGAGGAGAGAAUAAAGGAUUUGCUAGAGCUUUGUGACUCUGUAUGUCUGCUGUGGAUUGAUCUGAGAGCCUUUUUUAUCCUCCUUUUUGGGGAAAAGGGGGGAGGCUUUCUUUUCAGAGUCACAUUAUCUUUCAACAAAGGCUGACCCAGGACGAGUGGUAUCUAGGGAAUUGUGCACUUGCUGGAAGAGGUGGGCUGCAGCCUGUUGCAAGGAGUAGGCAGGCAGGACUCAACAGAUGGGUCUAGAGCCCAGGAGGGGGUGCGGGUGGGUGAACUCCGGCCUCCCAGGCUUCUCCCACCCCUUCAGCCCCAAACCUUCUCCCAGGUGGCUUGUACUGAUUAGCAUGUCAGCAUCAUUCAGAUCCCUUCGGAGAAGGGCCGGUAUGUGUAUGGUUCGGGGCCUGUGAGUGUGUGGCUUCCAUGGCUCAGGAAAAGAGAAGGGGUAGUGAAGAUCCCUAUGAAGACAAGCAAGCUUCCAUCUAUAGAGAACUGUAGUGAAGAAGGAAUUUUAAGUAGGUUCCAGUGUUCUAAUUGUAUCUUCCCUUUCUCCUUACACAGAAGAAAGGAAGCUAGAAUGGGUGGCUUGAGAGCCCCACUUUCCUUGUACUUUGUAUGUAGUACCCAGAACUGCCCAUCCAAAGAUGUCUCCUUGGACAAACAAGGAAGGACUGAAGCGUUAAUAGAUCCUCAAGGCCUUCUCUCUCUGCCUCCAUCAUUGCUACUGCUUUAUUAUUCUGCAAAGGUAUAGCCGAUUCAUGACCUGCAUUUUCCUCAAGUUUUGAAGAUAACUAAAACAAAAUGAGGAUGUGUCCUCUGUCAUUCUGGCACCAUGUCCCUUUAUUAAUUACUAUGUGAUCCUGGUGGGGAGGGGAAGUCACUUAACCUUUGUAUGUUUCCCCAUUUGUAAAAUAAUUAUCUGUAUUGCCUCUCAACUUCAAGAUGGUUGUCAGGAAAAUUCUUUGUAGAUCUUAAAAUGUAUAUAUGAACUAUUCUUAUCAAAAAUAAAAGAACUAGAUAUGAAGAAGUUCCUAAGGCAUAUGAACUUAAAUAUAUAUGUAUAUAACUUUUUUCAAUAUAAUAAAUUGGACUCUUUUGUGAUCAUUUGUAUAUUUAUGCUUUUAAAGACUUUACUCUUAGAAAGGGGCACAUGGGCUUCACCAAACUACCAACAGGUCUAGGAUACACAAAAGGUCUUAAUUUGAAUUAGAGGUGAUAAAAGAGAGAGUACUAUGAAGGAGAAAUGAAGAAGGGGAAGAAUGGGGUCUAUUAGGACAGAGUAACAGAGAACCAAAAGGGGCCUUUACUAAGGAAUAAGUUCUUACAAGAAGAGGCUUCCCAUUCUUCAGCACUAGAGGAACAGAAUCUACCUUAUUGUUCAAGGUAGGAAGGAGAGAACAAAAUUCUUGAGCAACUGUAAAUAUUUUUCCGUUUGUGACUUAUCGUGGUAAAGAAAAAAAAAAAAUAAUGGCUUCUCCUAGGAGUAACAGUUUAAAAUUCAGUAGACCAGAGGGUGGGACAGAAAAAUGAAAUUUCCUCCUACUCAACACCAUGACUACUCUUUCUAUACAUUUCAGGGAGCUCUUUCUUUCAUAGGCUCUGGAACACUGCCUAGGAGGGACAUGGUGUCAUUUGGAAAUCUGAAGGCCUCCUAAGGAUUUUAAUUUUUACUUUUUGACACCCCAGUACUCAACUUGGUUUGCUCCUCAGGUAGUUUCAAUCCUCCCAGAAAUGAACGUUCUGUCAUAGUACUGGUCAGGAGAACUAAGUUCAAUGACUAGAAACCAGUUUGGGCUUGUAGCAAAACCUGCCAGAGAGAGCCCCAUGCCAGCCAUGCAUGGGCAACUCUCUUUGAGCCAGUGAGAUGUUCCCUUGGGUAUUCAGCUGAAAGGCCAAUUCCGUGGGUGCCACCCUGAGGUGUGUAGAGUGGCAGGCCCAGGCAGGGCAUUCUGACAUGCUAGAGGGCAUGAAAUUAGAAUCCGGGGCGUGUGUGGAAUCUCUAUCGAACAUGUGUUUUAAUAGCGACACAGAGAUCACUUUAACCCUAGCUGAAACUCAGUUGUGAUGGGGGGGGGGGGGAAGUCUUGCUCUUUCCCCAAAGGUGCCAUCUUAAGUUCUGUUGUUUAUUAGGAAGUAUCUAAUUAUAUAUAAACAAAAAUCUAUGAAUAAAAAAAACAACAACAGGGUAUUUACCCCACACUGGAAGACUUGGGUUGUAGGGAGGGAAGGGAAGCACGGUUAAAAUGACUAUCAGUAAGGAGAUUUUAGAAAACAAAUGGCUACUUGCAAUUGAGGGUAGAAAACAGAUGUGGUAGCCAUUCCUUGAUUUUGAGAAUCACUGAGAAGUUACCUCGGCUACCUGGACCUUUCAAAUGCUAAACCGCAUCUGAAUAGUUCGGAAAAAUAAGGGGCACUUACUACUCAAGUCUGGAAAUAGAGACUGGAAAUUCUCUCCCUCUCCCAGGAGAGUUCUUGAAGUUUCUCGGGGAAACUCCCAAAUACCAAUUAGGAAGUUCCGUUAAUUGAUUUCAAAUUCAUCCGUAUUCGGUUGUUUGCUCUAAAGUUUCAGUUUUCUCCGCAAUACUCAACAUAAUGGAAAAUCCGAGGGGGGAGCGAGAGGGAGAGGUGAAGGGGAGAGAGGGGAAAGGAAAGAGGAGCGAAAGAGAGAGCCAGACACGGACACACCGACACAAAGCCCUCAACUUCUGGGGGGAGAGGUCCGUCUUUUUUUGCAGGACUUCAAUGCUGGGCUAGUCUUAGAAUCGUCAUCGCCCAUGUUGUGGGAUAAUAAGUAAAAGCUAAAAGCCUUCCAUGCAACCACGCAUCACAGCAGAGCUCCAGUGGCCAGCGCGACCGCUAGUUCGGGGUGGGUGGGUCAGAACUUGCGGGCUUCUAAUGACUUGGCAUCUGUAGGAUCUGCCACCUCCUGAAUAGUUUGGAGGCCGCCUACAGGUGCAAUACCCACAUUGCUCAAACAAAGCUGCCCGCCUUCCUGGGCAGCCGAGCCUGUCUCCGGGAGGGGAAGAACUGGGAGGGAAAGCCCAGGAAGCGACGUCUAAGAAUAGUCUAACCCGCUCGCCCUUCCCUGGUCGCCCCCCGGAUCCAGCAGAGGGGGAAGGGACACACUGGGUCUCCUUUACUUGCGUCUCCACCUCCCCGCCACACCCCCUAGCGCUUUAAACUGGGCAGUUCGGGAGGAGGCAUCUGGCGAGCAAGAGAGGCUUCGCAAACUGGUCCCACUGCUGGGGAAGACGGGGCGGAGGAGGAGACAGUAGGAUCAGGACUCCCAUCCCUCAGUCGCAGACGCUCGGGUAACGUUUUCCCCAAAACUCCCGGCAAAGGGGGCUGCCCGGCGUCUCGGGCCCGCCGCCCCGCCUCUAGGUGGCCCCGGACAGCCCGCGCUGUUGCACGCUCAGGUCCGCCGCUAGCUC